This 381-nucleotide ribosomal RNA is filed under the name Gonatozygon monotaenium. Its description in RNAcentral is "SSU rRNA". It matches the Rfam family "Eukaryotic small subunit ribosomal RNA", at positions 585 to 972 of the family's 1831-position model. RNAcentral also lists the same sequence under 1 other name. The record is from RNAcentral. Lineage: Eukaryota; Viridiplantae; Streptophyta; Zygnematophyceae; Desmidiales; Gonatozygaceae.
CCAGCUCCAAUAGCGUAUAUUUAAGUUGUUGCAGUUAAAAAGCUCGUAGUUGGAUUUUGGGUCGGGGAAUUCGGUCUGCCACUCGGUUGAUACUGAAUUCCUCUUCCUUCUUGCCGGGGACACGCUCUGGUCUUCAUUGACUGGGGUGUGGAUUCGGCGAUGUUACUUUGAAAAAAUUAGAGUGUUCAAAGCAGGCCUAUGCUCUGAAUAAAUUAGCAUGGAAUAACACCAUAGGACUCUGGUCCUAUUGUGUUGGUCUUCGGGACCGGAGUAAUGAUUAAUAGGGACAGUUGGGGGCAUUCGUAUUUCAUUGUCAGAGGUGAAAUUCUUGGAUUUAUGAAAGACGAACUACUGCGAAAGCAUUUGCCAAGGAUGUUUUCA